CGCUGGCGGCACGCCUAACACAUGCAAGUCGAACGCAGUAGCAAUACUGAGUGGCAAACGGGUGAGUAUAAUGUGGGAAUCUGCCUUUUGGUUUGGAAUAACACGGGGAAACUUGUGCUAAUACCGAAUAAGCCUUUACGGGGAAAGUUUUAACGCCGAAAGAUGAGCCUGCACUUGAUUAGCUAGUUGGUAAGGUAAAAGCUUACCAAGGCAACGAUCAAUAGCUGUUCUUAGAGGAAGACCAGCCACAUUGGGACUGAGACACGGCCCAGACUCCUACGGGAGGCAGCAGUGGGGAAUCUUGCACAAUGGGGGAAACCCUGAUGCAGCGAUGCCGCGUGAGUGAAGAAGGCCCUUGGGUUGUAAAACUCUUUCGUCGGGGAAGAAAAUGACUGUACCCGAAUAAGAAGGUCCGGCUAACUUCGUGCCAGCAGCCGCGGUAAUACGAAGGGACCUAGCGUAGUUCGGAAUUACUGGGCUUAAAGAGCUCGUAGGUGGUUAAAAAAGUUGAUGGUGAAAUCCCAAGGCUCAACCUUGGAACUGCCAUCAAAACUUUUUAGCUAGAGUGUGAUAGAGGUAAGUGGAAUUUCUAGUGUAGAGGUGAAAUUCGUAGAUAUUAGAAAGAACACCAAAAGCGAAGGCAACUUACUGGGUCACUACUGACACUGAGGAGCGAAAGCAUGGGUAGCGAAGAGGAUUAGAUACCCUCGUAGUCCAUGCCGUAAACGAUGUGUGCUAGACGUUGGAAAUAUAUUUUUCAGUGUCGCAGCGAAAGCAUUAAGCACACCGCCUGGGGAGUACGACC
This 805-nucleotide ribosomal RNA is filed under the name uncultured Pelagibacteraceae bacterium. Its description in RNAcentral is "bacterial SSU rRNA". It matches the Rfam family "Bacterial small subunit ribosomal RNA", at positions 34 to 887 of the family's 1533-position model. The record is from RNAcentral. Lineage: Bacteria; Pseudomonadati; Pseudomonadota; Alphaproteobacteria; Candidatus Pelagibacterales; Candidatus Pelagibacteraceae.